CGAAAGCCUGACGGAGCAAUACCGCGUGCGGGAGGAAGGCUCUUGGGUUGUAAACCUCUUUUCUCAGGGAAGAAGCUCUGACGGUACCUGAGGAAUCAGCCUCGGCUAACUCCGUGCCAGCAGCCGCGGUAAUACGGAGGAGGCAAGCGUUAUCCGGAUUUAUUGGGCGUAAAGCGUUCGCAGGUGGUUCUUCAAGUCUGCUGUUAAAGCGUGCAGCUCAACUGCAUAUAGGCAGUGGAAACUGUUGAACUAGAGUAUGGUAGGGGUAGGGGGAAUUCCCAGUGUAGCGGUGAAAUGCGUAGAGAUUGGGAAGAACACCGGUGGCGAAAGCGCCCUACUGGGCCAUAACUGACACUGAGGGACGAAAGCUAGGGGAGCG
This 379-nucleotide ribosomal RNA is filed under the name uncultured cyanobacterium. RNAcentral describes it as "bacterial SSU rRNA". It matches the Rfam family "Bacterial small subunit ribosomal RNA", at positions 376 to 770 of the family's 1533-position model. The record is from RNAcentral. Lineage: Bacteria; Bacillati; Cyanobacteriota.